Molecule: unclassified non-coding RNA, 353 nt
Filed under: soil metagenome
Description: partial contains 5.8S ribosomal RNA, internal transcribed spacer 2, and large subunit ribosomal RNA
Rfam family: 5.8S ribosomal RNA (bases 1-121)
Source: RNAcentral
GAUGAAGAACGCAGCGAAAUGCGAUAAGUAAUGCGAAUUGCAGAAUUCCAGUGAGUCAUCGAAUCUUUGAACGCACAUUGCGCCCGCCAGUAUUCUGGCGGGCAUGCCUGUUCGAGCGUCAUUACAACCCUCAGGCCCCCGGGCCUGGCGUUGGGGAUCGGCGGAGCCCCCCGUGGGCACACGCCGUCCCCCAAAUACAGUGGCGGUCCCGCCGCAGCUUCCAUCGCGUAGUAGCUAACACCUCGCGACUGGAGAGCGGCGCGGCCACGCCGUAAAACACCCAACUCUUCUGAAGUUGACCUCGAAUCAGGUAGGAAUACCCGCUGAACUUAAGCAUAUCAAUAAGCGGAGGA